CGCCGUGGUCACGUGGUCACCUGGGGCAGGGGGCCUGGCCUUUGGCGCGGGCGCUGCGGGAGCCUCUGAGCACCUGAUGGAGCACCUGCCGGAAGUCCCGCUCCUCCCUGGCCCCAGGCCCCCACGGAGUUUCUCAGCUUUGUUCAACCCCAGAUUGUGGGUCACUCCUCAAGGGCCUUCUGCUGGCCUUCUUCUGGCUGUGCCCACCGUCACAGAGGAAGAGUCCAUGGGGCCAAGGGAUGCGACUACUUAAAACCUGUGCCAGCCCCGACUUCUAGAUCCUGAGAAUUCCCCAGUAGCCCCAAGCCUACCUCCCUGCAGGCCUCUGAGGGGCCUGUACCCCCCACCCCCCAGCAAAGCGAUCCAUGCCACCAGUGUGUGCGCCCAGGCCAGGAGGCAGUGUGGCUGGAGACACGUGAAAGUGAAAGUCGCUCAGUCGUGUCUGGCUCUUCGCGACCCCAUGGACUAUACAGCGCGUGGAACUCUCCAGGCAAGAAUACUGGAGUGAGUUGCCAUUUCCUCCUCCAGGAGAUCUACCUGACCCAGGGACUGAACUCACAUCUCCUGGAUUGGCAGGUGAUAUGGGUUCGAUCCCUAGUCCGGGAAGAUCAUACAUGCUGCAGAGCAACUAUGAAGCCCGAUCUUCGGAGUCGAAAGGGAAGCCACUGCAAUGAGAAGCCCAAGCACAGUAACUAGAGAGCAGCCCCCACUGGCUACAACUAGAGAAAGUCCAUGCGCAGGAACAAAGACCCACGCAGCCAAAGAAAUAAAUAAAUGAUUUUUUAAAUGAUACAAAUGCCAACACAGCAGAAUCUACUUUAAAAACAAAUAAGUGUUUUGAGUGCGGCCUCUGAUGGGGGAACAUUUAUGAUGUGAGCACAUUUCCUGUCCCAUCUUUCCACCGUAUACCUUCUGAAGUCUUCACCUUGUCUGCCUCCUCCCGUCCCCCCAGCCAUCCACGGGGCAUCUCUCCAGGCCAGCCUCAUGGGGCUGACCUGGGAAGUGGAUGGUGAGGUAUGCAACUGGACAGGAAGGAAACGGGUAAGGACCCCCCACCAGGGCAAAUGAGCCAAUAUAUCUCAUCCAUACGUCAAUUUUCAGCCUGCCUUUAUGCUUAAUGUGUCUCUCGUAAAGUUGAGUGUUAACUUUUUCAUCCUGUCUGCCUUCCAGUUUAGCCUCUGGCCUGUUUACCAUUAAUACAACUAUUGAUACAGUUCUGCUUAAGUCUACCAUCUUGCUGUUUAUUUUCUAUUUGUUCUCUCUGUUCCUCUGUCAUUCUCCUUUUGAUUUAAUGAAGUACUAUUAAUGUUUUCUAGUCUCUCUUCUUCACUGUUUUUUUAAGUACCUUAUUGUAUGUUUCAGUUCUGUGAUUUCCAUUUGGUUCUGUUUUAAACUCUCUGACUGUGUCCUGAAAUUUGCCAUUUCUUUGCCCAUGAUAUGCAUCUUUCCCUAUAGACUGUCUGUUGUAUUUAUCAUAGUAUUUUAAGCUCCUUAUUACCUUAUUUACCUUAUUUUAAGCUCUGGUUUGUGGGUCUGUUUCUACUGAUUGACUUUUCUGUGUUUUUCUUCACCAUCGGUCACAUUUUCCUGAUUCUCCAUUUGUCUGGGAAUCACCGUGUAUCAGACAUUGUGAAUGGUGUGUUGCUGAGACUCUGGAUUCUUUCCCUGUGAAAAAUACUGAGUUGAUUCUAGAAGGCAGUUAAAUUACUGGUGGUUCCUCUUUAAACUGCAGAAACUGUGCUUUACACUUUGUUGGGAUGGAAACUGUUUUUGUUUGCCUUCAGUCCUAAGGUGAACCGUAGUCCUGGGACACAGUCUUUGCCCCUAAACUUAAGAACUUCUGGGGUUUCAAGUGGAAAGUCUGAGGGGUCCACCAGGCCCCUCUAUUGAGCAGAAAUUAGAGUCCAAGCUCACUGUUCCCUGCAGUCAGUGGGCGGCAGUGAAAAUCACUGCUUAGCUCUUUAAACCAUCAGGCAUUGCCUUCCUCUGGGCUUCUGGCAACCUCAUCUGCGCAUGAGCUCUUGAGGGGACUGCUAUGGAUGUGAGGAGCAUUAAUGUACAGUGUUUGGGGGCUCCCUUUCUUUUCAAGAUUUCACCUCUCCAUUCAACAACAGCAAGCAUGCGUUUCUCAAGCUCACAUGGAGCAUUCACUGAGGCAGACCACUUUCUUGGCCAUAAGACACACCUUAACAGAUUUAAAAUGGUAGAAAUUGUACAAUGUCUGCUCUCUGACUACAUGGAAUUACACUGGAGAUCAGUAACAGAAAGAUAAAUUUUCCAGAUAAAUCUGGAAAAUUUCCAGAUUUAUGAAGAUUAAAUAACACACUUGUAAAUAACACAUGUGUCAAAGAAGGACUCUCAAGAGAAAUUCAAAAAUAUUUUUAACUAAAUGAAAAUGAAAACACAACUUAUCAAUAUUGUGGGAUGUGGUAAAAGCAGUGCUUAGAGGAAAAUUUGUAACAUUGAAUAUAUAUAUUAGAAAAGAAGAUCUAAAAUCAAUAACCUUAAGUUUCCGCCUUAGGAAACUAGAAAAAGAAGAACAAAUUAAAACCAAAUUUAGCAGAAAAAUUAGUAAGAAUUAUAGUAGAAGUCAAUGCAAUUGAAAAUAAGAAAUCAGUAGAAAAAGUCAAAGAAACCAGAAGCUGGUUCUUUGAAAAGAUUAAUAAAAUUAAUAAACCUCUAGCUGGGCUAAGAAAAAUGGAAAGAAGAAGCAAAUUACUAAUAUUGGAAAUGAAAACAGGGACAUCACUGAGAUUUCAUGGGCAUUAAACAAUAGUAAAAUGCUGCUAUGAACAACUCUUUGCCCACACAUUUGGUAACCUAGAUGAAAAGGACCAGUUCCUUGAAAGACAUGAUUUGCCAAAACUCGCAUGAGAAGUAAUAGAUAAUCUGAAUAAAACUAUAUUCAUUAUAUUUAAAACUGCAUCCAUAAUUAAUAAUCUUCCAAAACAGAAAGCUCCAGGCCUAAAUGAGUUCACUUGUAAAUUCUACCAAACAUUUAAGAAAGAAAUUACACCAGUUUUCUACAAUCUCUUUCAGAGGAUAGAAUCAGGAUAGAAUCAGAGGAAAGAUUUCCUAAUGGAAAUAUAUUUCCUAUGGGGCCAGCAUUAUCGUAACACCAAAACCAGAGACAUUAUAAGAAAACUACAGACCAAUAACGCUUCUGAACACGGAUGCAAAAAUCCUCCACAAAAUAUUCUUAAAUCAAAUCCAACAAUGUAUAAAAAGAGUUGUACACCAUGACCAAGUGGGAUUUAUCCCAGGUAUGCAAGGCUGGUCAAUAUUCAAGAAUUAGUUAAUGCAAUCCACCACAUCAAGAAGCUAAGAAAGGAAAAUCACACUAUUGUAUCAGUAGAUGCAGAAAAAGCAUUUGCAAAAGCCAACACCCAUUCAUAACAAAAAUCCUUGGCAACUAAAAUUUCACCCCUCCUUUUCCAGCCACCCUGGCCACCAAACUCCAUCCUCCGACUUCUCAGACCUGUAAAUUCUAGCUGCCCCGCCCUGAGCAGACCGAGAAGAGCCCUCCGACGGUUCACACUCAUGGGCAUUUCAUCCAGAGCAGUUCCCCUGCUUUCAAGGGUCAAGUCCCCUCCACUUGUUGCUUCUCAAGUCACUCUCCAGUGUCCUGAAACAAUGGUUUACAUUUUGGGUUGUUACUGGCUCUGUCAUGCCUGACUCUUUGCGACCCCCUGGACUGUAGCCUGCCAGAUUUCUCCAUCCUUGGGAUUUCCCAGGCAAGAAUACUGCAGUGAGUUGCCAUUUCCUUCUCCAGGGGAUCUUCCCAGCCACAGGUCAAACCCAGGUCUCCUGCAUUGCAGGCAGGUUCUUUACCAUCUGAGCCACCAGAGAAGCCCAUUUUACAUUUUAUCUUUGUUCUUGGUGGGAAGAUUAGUCAGCAAGCUCCUGCACCAUUACUAAAACUCAAACACCCCUGGAAUCACUUCUUACCUUCAGUUGUUGAACUGUGUUUGUUUAAGGGUGAAGCCUAGCUGUGGCUGGGCCAUGGGGUGCUAGAGUUAACAUAGGUUCAACAUCAAUUUAUCAGCUAGGAGCUUGGCUCCAUACACAGGCUCCUUCACUUAAGGAGAGUCGAGACACUUCUAGAAACUGCUGCUGAGAAUGUUUGCUUUUCUGGAGGACAAACUGGGAAUACUUCUCGAUGGGCUUGAUGAUAAUACAGCCUUUGACUCAGCUGCAGCCCCACAUGCAGAAAGCACCCAGAAUCCAGAGGGCAGAACUGAGGAAAUGACUCAGUUCUUGAGCUCAUCGGCUGCUUUUAGCUACACUUCAUGCUGACGGUGAAAUUACUCAGCCUCCUGCCCAGCCGGCCGUGGGGCACACGAGGCAGCCUUGGGGAAAUGCAAAACUGGGACGAUGGCGGGAGGGGGGACUUCAGCUCGAUUUAGAUUAACUUCUGAGACUGGGAUGUGGGAUUCUUAAAUCUAAGAGUUGUCUGAACCACAGACCAUUAGAUUCCCUCCUUUCCCGGUGGUUCCUCAGCUUCCGCUGAGAUUCCCUGGCUGCUCUCCCUAAGGACAAAGCUCUGGAGUAGACCUCCCCCAGCACCCACCCACCCGGACCUUCCCCAGUGCCGAGGCUCAUCAGAGGGGUCACAGUCCACACCUGAGAAGCCUUGGGUGGCAUGAGCACCACAGAGGCUGCAGACUGCUGUGUCCACGUCCUCAGCCAGGACAAGGGAGUAGGCGGCAAGGGGGCAAGCCAGGAUGCUAUCAGUGACGUUCAGAGGGAGCCAGGCAGGACUAUAGGGAGAUCCAGAUUUAGGGAAAACCCAUCUCCUUAAAAAGUGGAGAAGCAGCGCUUUCUCCCCCCAAACAUCAUGUGGGCACGUUGGCUCCCUCUGCGGCUGAGAGAAGGAAGCUGCCUGAAGCCUCUCCCCUGCUUUGGGGGUUUGCUGUAGCCUUCACCACUCUUGGCCUCAUAAAAGCACCACCUCCAUCUCUGCCUUUAUCUUCACAAGGCGUUCUCCCUGUGAGAGUGUGUCUGCGUCCAUCCUUCCCCUUCGAUAAGGGCACUGGUCAUGUGGGACCAGGGCCCACCCUAAUGACCUCACUGCAACUUGAUGACCUCUGUAAAGACCCUCUCUCCAAUUUGGAAGGACUGAUGCUGAAGCUGAAACUCCAGUACUUUGGCCACCUGAUGCAAAGAACUGACUCAUUGGAAGAAACCCUGAUGCUGGGAAAGACUGAAAGCAGGAGGAGAAGGGGACAACAGAUGAUGAGAUGGUUGGAUGGCAUCACCAACUCGAUGGACAUGAGUUUGAGCAAGCUCUGGGAGUUGGUAAUGGACAGGGAAGUGUGGCAUGCUGCAGUCCAUGGGGCUGCAAAAAGUCAGACACAACUGAGUGACUGAACUGAACUGAACUCCAAAUAUGGUCACAUUUAGGGGGCUGGAGCUUAGGACUUCAACACGCAGGUUCUGGGGGAACACAAUUCAACUCAUGACACCACGGACAUCAUAAAUACUCUUGAUCAACCCACAUUGUAGAUUCUGUGUAGAUCUGUCUCUGUGAGGAGCA
Long non-coding RNA from Dama dama (fallow deer), 5536 nucleotides. RefSeq lists it as uncharacterized. The transcript has 3 exons. The record is from RefSeq and is a predicted model, not a curated record. NCBI's taxonomy places the organism in Eukaryota, Metazoa, Chordata, Mammalia, Artiodactyla, Cervidae.